AUUGCCUUAUUAACGGCGAGUGAAGCGGCAACAGCUCAAAUUUGAAAUCUGGUCCCCCCGGGGCCCGAGUUGUAAUUUGCAGAGGGUGCUUCGGCGUCGGCUCCGGUCCAAGUUCCUUGGAACAGGACGUCACAGAGGGUGAGAACCCCGUACGUGGCCGGAAGUCUUCGCCGUGUGAAGCCCCUUCGACGAGUCGAGUUGUUUGGGAAUGCAGCUCUAAAUGGGAGGUAAAUUUCUUCUAAAGCUAAAUACCGGCCAGAGACCGAUAGCGCACAAGUAGAGUGAUCGAAAGAUGAAAAGCACUUUGGAAAGAGAGUUAAAAAGCACGUGAAAUUGUUGAAAGGGAAGCAGUUGCAGCCAGACUUGGCCGCGGGCGUUCAUCCGUGCUUCUGCACGGUGUACUCGACCGCGGUCAGGCCAGCAUCAGUUCGGGCGGCCGGAUAAAGGUCCCGGGAAUGUGGCUCCCCUCGGGGAGUGUUAUAGCCCGGGGCGUAAUACGACCAGCCUGGACUGAGGUCCGCGCUUCGGCUAGGAUGCUGGCAUAAUGGCUGUAACUGGCCCGUCUUGAAACACGGACCAAGGAGUCUAACAUCUAUGCGAGUGUUUGGGUGUCAAACCCAUACGCGUAAUGAAAGUGAACGGAGGUGAGAGCCGCAAGGCGCAUCAUCGACCGAUCCUGAUGUCUUCGGAUGGAUUUGAGUAUGAGCAUAGCUGUUGGGACCCGAAAGAUGGUGAACUAUGCCUGAAUAGGGUGAAGCCAGAGGAAACUCUGGUGGAGGCUCGCAGCGGUUCUGACGUGCAAAUCGAUCGUCAAAUUUGGGUAUAGUGGCGCAAGA
This 836-nucleotide ribosomal RNA is filed under the name Valsaria insitiva. RNAcentral's name for it is "eukaryotic LSU rRNA". It matches the Rfam family "Eukaryotic large subunit ribosomal RNA", at positions 74 to 930 of the family's 3401-position model. Lineage: Eukaryota; Fungi; Ascomycota; Dothideomycetes; Valsariales; Valsariaceae. The record is from RNAcentral.